RNAcentral lists this ribosomal RNA (373 nucleotides) under uncultured bacterium. Its description in RNAcentral is "bacterial SSU rRNA". It matches the Rfam family "Bacterial small subunit ribosomal RNA", at positions 521 to 896 of the family's 1533-position model. The record is from RNAcentral.
UAAUACGGAGGAUCCGAGCGUUAUCCGGAUUUAUUGGGUUUAAAGGGUGCGUAGGCGGCCUUUUAAGUCAGCGGUGAAAGUCUGUGGCUCAACCAUAGAAUUGCCGUUGAAACUGGGGGGCUUGAGUAUGUUUGAGGCAGGCGGAAUGCGUGGUGUAGCGGUGAAAUGCAUAGAUAUCACGCAGAACCCCGAUUGCGAAGGCAGCCUGCCAAGCCAUUACUGACGCUGAUGCACGAAAGCGUGGGGAUCAAACAGGAUUAGAUACCCUGGUAGUCCACGCAGUAAACGAUGAUCACUAGCUGUUUGCGAUACACUGUAAGCGGCACAGCGAAAGCGUUAAGUGAUCCACCUGGGGAGUACGCCGGCAACGGUG